Molecule: ribosomal RNA, 400 nt
Filed under: phytoplankton environmental sample
Lineage: Eukaryota
Description: partial small subunit ribosomal RNA
Rfam family: Eukaryotic small subunit ribosomal RNA
Source: RNAcentral
AGCUCCAACAGUGUAUGCUAAAGUUGUUGCGGUUGAAAAGCUCGUAGUUGGAUUUUAGGUGGGCGCAGUCGGUCCGUCGCAGGGCGUGUUACUGGCUGCGCUCGCCUCGCCUUCGGUUCUCCGUCGGUGCUCUUGACUGAGUGUCGGCGGUGGCCGAGAAGUUUACUUUGAAAAAAUUAGAGUGUUCAAAGCAGGCUGCUCGCCUGAAUAGUGUUGCAUGGAAUAAUGGAAUAGGACCUCGGUUCUAUUUUGUUGGUUUUCGGAGCGCGAGGUAAUGAUUAAGAGGGACAGACGGGGGCGUCCGUACUCUGCCGUUAGAGGUGAAAUUCUUGGAUCGGCGGAAGACGAACUACUGCGAAAGCAUUCGCCAAGAAUGUUUUCUUUAAUCAAGAACGAAAGU